CCUACGGGGGGCAGCAGUGAGGAAUAUUGGUCAAUGGACGAGAGUCUGAACCAGCCAAGUAGCGUGAAGGAUGACUGCCCUAUGGGUUGUAAACUUCUUUUAUAUGGGAAUAAAAUGUUCCACGUGUGGGAUUUUGUAUGUACCAUAUGAAUAAGGAUCGGCUAACUCCGUGCCAGCAGCCGCGGUAAUACGGAGGAUCCGAGCGUUAUCCGGAUUUAUUGGGUUUAAAGGGAGCGUAGGUGGAUUGUUAAGUCAGUUGUGAAAGUUUGCGGAUCAACCGUAAAAUUGCAGUUGAAACUGGCAGUCUUGUGUACAGUAGAGGUGGGCGGAAUUCGUGGUGUAGCGGUGAAAUGCUUAGAUAUCACGAAGAACUCCGAUUGCGAAGGCAGUUCACUGGACUGCAACUGACACUGAGGCUCGAAAGUGUGGGUAUCAAACAGGAUUAGAUACCCCGGUAGUC
Molecule: ribosomal RNA, 460 nt
Filed under: uncultured bacterium
Lineage: Bacteria
Description: partial 16S ribosomal RNA
Rfam family: Bacterial small subunit ribosomal RNA
Source: RNAcentral